Molecule: unclassified non-coding RNA, 3432 nt
Filed under: Leishmania donovani
Lineage: Eukaryota; Euglenozoa; Kinetoplastea; Trypanosomatida; Trypanosomatidae
Description: gene:LdHU3.21.2320(CDS-product:F-box_domain/F-box -like_putative)
Source: RNAcentral
GUCGCUUUCACGCCUUCCUGCUCCACCUGCUUGGGUCGCUCUCUUUGUCUUGGACUUUUUGUUUUGCCCUUCACAACGUUCCUUGUGCUCCUCGUUUAUCUUCACUGUGUUGUUGAUUUCGUGUAUCUUCUCGCUGUUGUGUGGCCUUGCCUUUUCACCUCAACUCUGUCUCUCUACUCCCCUCCCACUCCCUUCCCCUGAGUGUGCAUCUCCCUUUCUUUUUUUUUUUGCUGCACCAUCUUCCUUCUUCCUCCCACCUCUCCCGCUCUCACUCCAUCGCGGCACUUCGGACGUUCAUCGGAGAGCGCUUUUCGCAGCGCGUGGCCUUAUGUGUUCGCGCGCGUGGGUCUUCUCUCGUUUCGUGUACUAUCCUUCGAUCUCAUUUCCGUGCCGCUCGCGUUGUCUUGGGGGUAGAGCUUGCUCUUGCGUGCUGACUUCCUCUCCAGCGGUCACGCACACACGCGCGAUUCCGUUCUUGGGUGGAUCUUUCCCAGAUUGGUGAAGAGCGCGUUCGAACUCAUUUUUAGGCGGAAACGGAGAGAUCCGCCCACUUAAAGGGAGGGCUUCUGCUUGACAUCGUUCUGCUGUUCUCUCGUCUUCGCUCUUUCUCUCAAAGCAGCUGCGCGGCGAAAUAGACGGCACAAAACGAGGGAAGCCUGCGCCUGCUACUGCCUUGCUGACGGGGUGGGGAACGCAAGCAGCUCACACCGAGAGGGCGGACUGCGCACCCCCCCCCACACACACACACGCACGUGUGUACUCUUGUCGUGUGGCGCACGUGUGCUGGGCAGUCUCCGUGAUUUCAUUGCUCGAAACACCGACAGCGAGAAACCCGGAUGCCUCGGAAGUCGGUGCAGAAACGACGCUUCCCCCUAUUUUUUCUUCCCGCAUUUCGUGUUUGUGCUGUCGCGCGCGCGGGUGCGGCCUAGAAGCUGCUCCAGUGGCGGCCUUUUACCGCUACUGCCACUCGCCCACUACACCAGGACACACUCACUCUUGUAGGUGUGACUACAGAGGAAGAAGCAUCCACGGUUUAAAGGGGAGGUGUGGCGGUGCGCUUCACAGCCGCCCCGUUCCCUCUCUUAUAUUCGCCGAAGAAGCGCAGAGAAGAAAACAAGCAUAUACGCACACGCACACACGUGCGCGCGUACAGAUAUAUACACGUUGGUGAUUGAGAUAUAUAGCGAGGGAGGAGGAGGGCAGUGGAAAGGAGAGCCGAAGUAGGCGUACAGGCUCACGCCAAUAACGCUACGCAGCAGCCCAACAAAAAGCACUGCCCUCAUUCCCCCCUGUCUCUCUCUCGCUCUGCCUCUUCGUGCGGUUGCUCUUACCCUUUCUUUGCUCGCGUUUCGCUUGCGUGUCUCUCUCUUUCUCUCUCCUGUGCGCGCGCGGGAUGUUUGCCCUUCACACACAUGCGGUGCUCAGCUCGUCCUUCCCCUCCUCUCUCGUGUCUGACGGAGAGGCGGUGGCGAACGACGACCACUCCGGCGCGUGCGUGAUGAAGCGAGGGGUGUCGCACGUAGAGAGACUCCCGCGUGAGCUGCUGCUCAAUGUUUUCAUUGAUGUGAUCCGCAACGACGGCGAUAACUUCGGCUGGAUCGGCGUCCUAUCGUGUGUGUGCCGCAGUUGGUAUCAGCUCUGCCAGCACCCAGUGCUGUGGGAGUACGUGGCGAAGCGUAUCUGUGUUGUCUACCCGCUGGUGGUCCGGCUGCACGGCGCGGCACCGUACGACGCGUUGAGUCAGGAAAUCGUGAAUCGGAUGCGCCUUCUAGAGUCGGAGGAGCAGUGCAUCCUGCAGUACGACCCACUCGAGCCCCUCCCCGCCCCGUCGCGGGCGGCACUGCGUAAGACGAUGGAGAAGGUGCGGCGCUACCGUGAGAGCCAGCAGUACUACAAGUACGUGCAGCGGCGGCGCCGUGUGGUGCUGCAUUUUUUCUUGUCCGUUACCUUGUUUUCGGUAGCGCUUGCCAUCACCACGGCGAUGUGCGUGUCAGAGGGGUUUGACAUGGGGGGUCUCUGCAACACCACCAUCGUCUUUGGGCUGCUCUGGAUGGCGUACCUCUGUAUCGUCGCCAUCAUCGUCUCAAAUGUCGUGAUGCAGGCCCACUUCGAGCCUCUGCCGCUGUUGCUGCGACUGCGGCGCAACAAACUGCUGAUCUUUGCUUCUGCCGUGACGAUCCUGCUGGGCAUCUGCGACGUCAUCAUCCCGACGCUGCUGAUUCAGAUCAACCUGGGACGCAAGGAGCGCUUCUCGUGGCUCUGGUGCGGCAUCACCGUCAUCCUUUCCUUCUGUCUCUGGCAGCUGUACACGCUGAUGUACAUCAUGCCCGCGGCGAGGCAGCAGCUGCGGUAUCAAAUGACGCACGUUAAUGUGCGAGAGGGCUUUCAGUUUGUGGUGCUGAACAUCCCGAACGGCUUCCCAUUCCUGUUCGCGGCAGCCUCCUUCUGCGCCCUGCAGUACGUCCAGUACGGCUACCGCAUCUACAUUCUGCUCGGAGGGGUCCCGGUGAUUGUCAGCCUCGGCGUCCUUGCGCUGGUCUUUCUGCUCGACUUCUACUCCCUGCACCGCUUCAAGGACUUGGCGAUGGGCAUCUGUUUCUUCCUCGCGAUGCUCUUCCCCAUUUCGCUGCUCGUGUGGGAGUUCCGCGGGCUGUGCUUGCUGCCUCUCGCCGCGGCGGCCUUUGGCAUCUUUUUCGCCCACGCCCGCUACGUUGUCAGCUCCGCCAUUCACGAGCUGAUGCGCACCAUCCGCGCCGAACGCAACGGCUGCAUUCUCCGCACCCCUGAUGCAAACAAGAAGAACUAGGGGGCAAGGGGCGUGUGCGUGUGUGUGUGUGUGUGCAGCAGUGGUUGCUCGCGGCAGUGCUGUCAGAACUUGACGGUGUUGACGUCGGCGCUGCGUCUUCCUGCUGUGCCCUGCUCUCCAUUUUGUCGUCGUGUCCUGCGUGUGCAUGUAUUACGGUGAAGGUGUUCCGUGGUGAUUGAGUGCUGAAGGCGAAUUCUUGCAUUCUCUAUUCUUGCCCAGAAAGUGAGGACGCCAGUCCCUGCAAAAUCCUCUUUCUACCUGUCCUUUGCCUGCUCAUCCUCUUCGCCUUCUGUGUGUGUUACUCGGAACAGAACGGCGCGAUGAGGCCAAGGGUGGGCGACUGAGCUUCUUUUUUCUCUCUGUCUCUGCUGCAAGUGCUAUCUUUAUUCUACCUGGUCAGUGCUGCUUUUCGUGUUCAUUUGCUUGAGAACGGGCCGCAGUGACCAUAUGGGCUCCUCAUUCUCUCGUUCUUUCCACUGUCUGCAUCUUCAUAGUACGCCCCGCCCACCCAACCUCCUUCGUGCCCCCCACCCGGUGAGGCAGGAGGCGGGAGGGACAGGCGGCACCACACUCUCGUCCGUGCGCGCGCGCACACACACACACACACGCAGGCAGGACAAAACGAG